This is a long non-coding RNA of Vidua chalybeata, 483 nucleotides long. RefSeq lists it as uncharacterized. The record is from RefSeq and is a predicted model, not a curated record. The transcript has 4 exons. NCBI's taxonomy places the organism in Eukaryota, Metazoa, Chordata, Aves, Passeriformes, Viduidae.
AUUUCUUCACCCAUUUUGAGUCAAUAAUCCUACUGUUUAUAAAUAAUCAUAAUUUAUCUGUGGCAGUGUGGCUCUUUAACAGAAACCUUCUCUGUGCUGAGCCUGUCCUCAAGUCUGACAUCACAUGGAUCCAGUUAAAUACACAACAAAGGAGGGCCACAAAGUCACAAAGUGCACAUCUGUCAACAGAAUGGCUUAUGCAAGCUGCCCAGCAUCUCACUGGUGCACCAAAUGCAUCUACAGCUACAUAACAUGAGUUCUGCAUGGAGGACUACAAACUUUGCUGUGAAGCAGAAAGGGAGCUUACCUAGGAAUUUGCAAAGUCUAGCAAUACAGAGGAUGAAACAAAGCUGCAGGAAAGGCUGAAGAAAAAGUGUGUUUUUCUUCCAUAUGGCAUUCCAAAAGAAACAAACUGGGAAUGACGCCGCAUGGUAACAGUCUUGAGAUGAUGUUCAGUGAGCUGAUUCCCCUGUCUCUGCAAGC